Molecule: long non-coding RNA, 4731 nt
Filed under: Mustela putorius furo (domestic ferret)
Lineage: Eukaryota; Metazoa; Chordata; Mammalia; Carnivora; Mustelidae
Description: lncRNA (ENSMPUG00000027587.1)
Source: RNAcentral
AUGGGAGGGCAGGCCGAGUGGAGCCCAGCUGGAGGUGGGGUGGAGGUCAGAAGGGAGAGAAGCUGGACUCCUCUGAGGGCCAAUUCCAUUGGACCAUGGCUUCAGUUUCUCCCCCGCCCUGAGGGUCCCGUGUCUCCAGCCCAGAGCCUGCUUCUGAACUUCAGACCAGUGUGUCCACCUUCCCGCCUGCUCUACCUUUCAGUGCCUCAGCCUGUUCUUGAGAGCAACGGAGGCGCCGAUAUGCUCCACCUCAUGCCUGACACAUGGACGCGCCCAACCUACUCUCCACCCUUCUCGGCUGCCUGGGAACCUGAUGUACAUGGACCAUACCAACAGGCUCCCCUAGCCUCUGGCUUCCUGUGAGAUUGGCUGAUGGAAAGACCCUGCAAUGAAUCAGAAGGCACGAGUCCUUACUGAGGAUCACAGCUUCUACAGGUGACUCUCUGCGGCCGAGUUCCCUUGCACUCUUCACACUGGGGUGGAAAUGCUAAUGUCUCCCCCAGGUUGCUAGCUUGAGGGAAUCAUACGCAGUAUGCCCUGUGACUUCCCUAAACCCCACUCAUAUCUUUGUAAAACAUUGCUUUAAUAGAUUCUUUCCAAAUUCCUCAAUGCUGGUAUGACAUCCAUUUUCCAUCAGGAUCCCAACACUCCCUUAUAGGGCAAGAUAAGGAUUUUCAAUUUUAUUCUGAGAUGGGAAACCACUGGGGGUUUUGGAACCUAUGAGACAUCAUGUGACUUGCAUUUUAUUUUUUAAUAAAAUAAAAUGUGAGUGGUAUGGCGGGGGGUAGGGGAGAUGGAGAGAAAGAAUCUUAAGCGGGACUCCAUACUCAGCACGGAGCCUGAUGGAGGCUCACAUCUCCUGACCCUGCGCCAAAAUCAAGAGGGGGACGCUUGGGGGAAAAAAAAAAGAGCUGGAUGCUUAACUGACUAAGCCACCCAGGCUCCCAAACAACUUAAAUUGUAAAAGGUCACUUUAGAUGCUGGAUGUAGAAAAUGCCUCAGUGGGGUCACAAGUGGGAAGAGAACAGGCAGCUUUUUGAGUAGGAAGGGUAGAAAGUGACUUGGGCUAGGGUGGUUGUAGUAAAAGUCCUAGGUGUUUAAAUGUAGGCAUAGGGAUGCCUGGGUAGCUCAGUGGGCUAAAGCCUCUGCCUUCAGCCCAGGUCAUGAUCUCAGGGUCCUGGGAGCGAGCCCUGCAUCGGGCUCUCUGCUCAGCAAGGAGCCUGCUUCCCCCUCUCUCUCUGCCUGCCUCUCUGCCUACUUGUGCUGUCAAAUAAAUUUAAAAAAAGAAAUCUUUAAAAAAAUAAUAAAUGUAGGCAUAUACUGUAAAGGUAAAGGUAGAGCUAAGAGGACUUGGUGAUCAAGUAUAUGCGGCAUUAAGAGUGAAAAGUCAAAGACUUAGGUGUUUGGUCUGAGGAUAAAUUGCCAUUUACUGAGUUGGAGAUGUGUGGGGAGAGAGCAGGUUUGGCCUGCAAAAAUCAAGAGCUCUGUUUGGGAUUAAAAAAAAAAUGUCAGGAAUUUAUUAGAGAUCUAAGUGGGGAUGUUGACUAGGCAGAUGCACACUAAGGCUGGAGUUCAGACUGCAAAAGGGAAAAGGUUUUUAGUUGUCUUGUAAAAUGAUAUUUCUAAAACCACACAUAUUCAAAACUUUGAUUAAUAAAUACGGUGGGGACCCCUGGCUGACUCAGUAGAGCCCGUAACUUAAUCUCAGGGAUCCUUGUGAGUUUGAGCCCCAUGCUGGGCAUAGAAUUUACUUAAAAAACAAAACAAAAACAAAAACCAGCUGUCGCUUGAGGGAAAGAUGAUUUUCAAGUUGCUUUUUUUUUUUUUUUCUUAAACUCUAUCCUCAACACGGAGCUCAAACUCAUGAGGACGCUGAGGUCAAGAACUGCAUGCUCUACUGACUGACCAGCCAAGCAUCCCCAAAAAAAGAUUUUUAGAUGAAGAGAACAGUUGUUGAAGGAAGCCUUCAAACCCUAGCUGCUCACAUAUGGGUAGAUUUGGACAAAUAGUAUGCACAUGCUGAUUCCAACUGUGUCAGAGAAGAUGUUACAAAGAAACAACAUAUGGAAAUUUCUGUUUAAAAAGGAAGAAUAAAUGUCUAAGUCUGAAAGACAGAUGAAGACCAAAGAGAAAGAGAAGCAGGAAAAAAACAAUUUAAUUAGACUGAUCCAUUUUUAAAAAAAUAAGAAAAAUCAUUAGGCACAGUACCAAUAAAAUUCCUAAACUUCUAAACAAGAUGAAAAGACAAGAGGGAAAAAUAUUUGUAGCACAUGAUAAAGCGUUAGGAAUUACAAUGUUCCAAAAGAGACAAACUAGAAUAAGGCAUGAACAGGCAGUUCCCAAAAAGGAGACGUAAGAUACUCAUUAAUCUAAUGAGUAAAACGGAAUAAGGUAUAAACAAGUAUCAUUCUCAUUCCUUCAAAACCAAUUUUGAAAGGAGGUGAAAUGACAUUCUCAUGCACUUUUUGAGCACUUUACCAGACUUCUGAAAUGCAGUUUUGCAAAAUAUACAAAAUAUAAAAGACACAUGCCAAAGUUCCCAUUGAGUUUUAUCCUGAGACAACUACAAGGCAAGUUACAGUAGGUGACACCUAUGGAAUGCCAAAACCAGAACAUAACCAGUAAAAAAUAAUGGGAUGAUGUGUAUAGUAUGAUGCCCAUGUACCAAGUGUCUUUGUGAUUAUCUGAACAGGUAUUAUCUGGAAGAAUGUUCACCAAAUAAGUUAAGUUUCUCUCUGGAUGACUGACAACUACCCCAUGAGAAGCACCUCAUGCAAUCCUCAAGAUAAUUUAGAUUCUUGAGAUUUCACCCCCACAACCUACAAGUGGCUGUUGCUAAAAACCCAUUUGACCCCCUCUGCCCACCAUUUACAAGGACUGCAUGUUUUGGCAUUUUAUUUACUAUCAAGUAUACUUAAAAAAAAACUAUUUUUAAGAUUUUAUUUGACAGGCAGAGAUCACAAGUAGGCAGAGAGGCAGGCAGGGCAGUGGGGAAGCAGACUCCCUGCUGAGCAGAGCCCAAUGUGGGACUUGAUCCCAGGACCCCGAGAUCAUGACCUGAGCCAAAAGCAGAGGCUUAACCCACUGAGCCACCCAGGCGCCCCAAGUAUACUAAAACUUUUAAGGCACUAAAACACCUCCCACCUGUAGUCAUAUUUAAUAUUUGCAGUAAUUCUCUUGGCUUGAUGGCAAGAAUCACAAAUACACAAAUGCUUUUUAAAGUAGGCUCCAUGCCUAGUGUGGAGCCGGAAGCAGGGCUUGCUUAAACUCAUGACCCUGAAUCAAGACUGAGCAGAGAUCAAGUCGGGACUCAACUGACUGAACCACCCAGGCGCCCCCGAGAUAUUUCCUUUAAUUAAAAAUAAACCUAGAUAUGCUUUGAAACUUUGAAUAUGAAACCUUGAACUAGAUAUGCUUUGAAAUGUUCUGCCAACUAUUAACUUUUUGGUCCAGAACCAUCAAUACCCAACAUCUGCAUAGCUACUGAGGGAUUACAAAGGACUGUGCCAGGUGUUUUGACUUAUUCAUCACUCUGUUUGCGCCUUAUUGGUCAGUUUAUCUUUAUUUAUUUUUUUUAAAGGUUUUAUUUAUUUGACAGAGAUCACAAAUAGGUAGAGAAGCAGGCAGAGACAGAGAGGUAGAAGCAGGCGCCCCGCUGAGUAGAGAGCCCAAUGCGGGGCUCCAUCCCAGGACCUUGAGAUCAUGAUCUGAGCAGAGGCUUAACCCACUGGGUGAGCCACCCAGGUGCCCUAUUAGUCAGUUUAAUUCCUGGUUUAUAAUGUUUAACCACUUUUUUUUUUUUUAAGAUUUUAUUGAUUUAUUUGACAGAUCACAAGUAGACAGAGAGGCAAGCAGAGAGAGAGCAGGGGAAGCAGACUCCCUGCUGAGCAGAAAGCCUGAUGUGGAACUCGAUCCCAGAACCCCGGGAUCAGGACCUGAGCCGAAGGCAGAGGCUUAACCCACUGAGCCACCCGGCACCCCAAUGUUUAACCACUUUUAAGACAUGAACACAAACACAAGAGAUUUAAAAAUGGACUGUUUCCCAUUAUUUGUGAGCCUAUUAGUAAGGGGGACUGAGUCAGCUUGCAUACCCAGCACAGAACACAGUACUGGGCAGGUGAGUAAAGAAGUGCCCUAAGGAACAACGUAAGUCACUUGGUGCCUGUACCCUCAGAGCACAGCACUCAAAAGGUCAUCAAUGAUAGCCAAUACUGGUCUCUAAAAAAUGGACUUUGCCCAACAGUGUGAUUUCAAACACAACUUAGAUUACUUAGGGUAAAACUUAAGUUGAUCUUAGGGUCCUGGGACCAAGCCCCGCAUCAGGCUCUCUGCUCAGUGGGGAGCCUUCUUCCCCCUCUCUCUCUGCCUGUGAUCUGUCAAAUAAAGAAAAAUCUUUGGGAAAAAAACCAGCUUAUUGGGGUACCUGGGUGGCUCAGUGGGUUAAAGUCUCGGCCUUCAGCUCAGCUCAUGAUCCCAGAGUCCUGGGAUCGAGCCCCUUAUCCAGCUCUAGGCUCAGCAGGGAGCCUGCUUCCUCCUCUCUCUCUGCCUGCCUCUCUGCCUACUUGUGAUCUCUGGAUGUAAAACAAAUAAAUAAAAUCUUAAAAAAAAAAAAAGCUGAUUAGUUUACUGUCUUACAGUCUCCAACUCACCAACUUGCCUCUUUUAGGAAAANNNNNNNNNNNNNNNNNNNNNNNNNNNNNNNNNNNNNNNNNNNNNNNNNNNNNNNNNNNN